RNAcentral lists this ribosomal RNA (2175 nucleotides) under Acinetobacter baumannii. Its description in RNAcentral is "partial 23S ribosomal RNA". It matches the Rfam family "Bacterial large subunit ribosomal RNA", at positions 1 to 2212 of the family's 2925-position model. The record is from RNAcentral. Lineage: Bacteria; Pseudomonadati; Pseudomonadota; Gammaproteobacteria; Moraxellales; Moraxellaceae.
AGUCAAGUAAUUAAGUGCAUGUGGUGGAUGCCUUGGCAGUCAGAGGCGAUGAAAGACGUGAUAGCCUGCGAAAAGCUCCGGGGAGGCGGCAAAUAUCCUUUGAUCCGGAGAUGUCUGAAUGGGGGAACCCACCUACUUUAAGGUAGGUAUUGCAACAUGAAUACAUAGUGUUGCAAGGCGAACGAGGGGAAGUGAAACAUCUCAGUACCCUUAGGAAAAGAAAUCAAUUGAGAUUCCCUCAGUAGCGGCGAGCGAACGGGGAUCAGCCCAUUAAGUUAUGUGUGUUUUAGUGGAACGCUCUGGGAAGUGCGAACGUAGAGGGUGAUAUUCCCGUACACGAAAGGGCACACAUAAUGAUGACGAGUAGGGCGAGGCACGUGAAACCUUGUCUGAAUAUGGGGGGACCAUCCUCCAAGGCUAAAUACUCCUGACUGACCGAUAGUGAACCAGUACCGUGAGGGAAAGGCGAAAAGAACCCCUGUGAGGGGAGUGAAAUAGAUCCUGAAACCGCAUGCAUACAAGCAGUGGGAGCACCUUCGUGGUGUGACUGCGUACCUUUUGUAUAAUGGGUCAGCGACUUAUAUUCAGUAGCGAGGUUAACCGUAUAGGGGAGCCGUAGAGAAAUCGAGUCUUAAUAGGGCGUUUAGUUGCUGGGUAUAGACCCGAAACCAGGCGAUCUAUCCAUGAGCAGGUUGAAGGUUGGGUAACACUAACUGGAGGACCGAACCCACUGUCGUUGAAAAGCCAGGGGAUGACUUGUGGAUAGGGGUGAAAGGCUAAUCAAGCCUGGUGAUAGCUGGUUCUCCCCGAAAGCUAUUUAGGUAGCGCCUCGGACGAAUACCAUAGGGGGUAGAGCACUGUUUCGGCUAGGGGGUCAUCCCGACUUACCAAACCGAUGCAAACUCCGAAUACCUAUGAGUACUAUCCGGGAGACAGACUGCGGGUGCUAACGUCCGUAGUCAAGAGGAAAACAAUCCAGACCGCCAGCUAAGGCCCCAAAAUCAUAGUUAAGUGGGAAACGAUGUGGGAAGGCAUAGACAGCUAGGAGGUUGGCUUAGAAGCAGCCACCCUUUAAAGAAAGCGUAAUAGCUCACUAGUCGAGUCGGCCUGCGCGGAAGAUGUAACGGGGCUAAAACUAUGUGCCGAAGCUGCGGAUGUAUACUUUGUAUACGUGGUAGGGGAGCGUUCUGUAAGCCGAUGAAGGUGUGUUGAGAAGCAUGCUGGAGGUAUCAGAAGUGCGAAUGCUGACGUGAGUAACGACAAAACGGGUGAAAAACCCGUUCGCCGAAAGACCAAGGGUUCCAGUCCAACGUUAAUCGGGGCUGGGUGAGUCGACCCCUAAGGCGAGGCCGAAAGGCGUAGUCGAUGGGAAAAUGGUUAAUAUUCCAUUACUUCUGUGUAAUGCGAUGAGAGGACGGAGAAGGCUAAAUCAGCCUGGCGUUGGUUGUCCAGGUGAAAGGAUGUAGGCAUGUAUCUUAGGCAAAUCCGGGGUACUCUAUGCUGAGAUCUGAUAGCAAGCUGUACUUGUACAGCGAAGUGGUUGAUGCCAUGCUUCCAGGAAAAGUCUCUAAGCUUCAGUUACACAGGAAUCGUACCCGAAACCGACACAGGUGGUCAGGUCGAGUAGACCAAGGCGCUUGAGAGAACUCUGCUGAAGGAACUAGGCAAAAUGGUACCGUAACUUCGGGAGAAGGUACGCUGUUGUUGGUGAUGGAACUCGCUUCCUGAGCUGACGACAGCCGCAGAAACCAGGCCGCUGCAACUGUUUAUUAAAAACAUAGCACUCUGCAAACACGAAAGUGGACGUAUAGGGUGUGAUGCCUGCCCGGUGCUGGAAGGUUAAUUGAUGGGGUUAGCGUAAGCGAAGCUCUUGAUCGAAGCCCCAGUAAACGGCGGCCGUAACUAUAACGGUCCUAAGGUAGCGAAAUUCCUUGUCGGGUAAGUUCCGACCUGCACGAAUGGCAUAAUGAUGGCGGCGCUGUCUCCAGCAGAGGCUCAGUGAAAUCGAAAUCGCUGUGAAGAUGCAGUGUACCCGCGGCUAGACGGAAAGACCCCGUGAACCUUUACUGCAGCUUGACACUGAACUUUGACCUUACUUGUGUAGGAUAGGUGGGAGGCUUUGAAGCUGGAACGCUAGUUCCAGUGGAGCCGUCCUUGAAAUACCACCCUGGUAAU